AGAGUUUGAUCCUGGCUCAGGACGAACGCUGGCGGCGUGCUUAACACAUGCAAGUCGAACGGUGACGAUCAAGCUUGCUUGGUCUGAUCAGUGGCGAACGGGUGAGUAACACGUGAGUAACCUGCCCCAGACUCUGGGAUAACCCCGGGAAACCGGAGCUAAUACCGGAUAUGACACCAGCCUGCAUGGGCAUGGUGUGGAAAGUUUUUCGGUCUGGGAUGGCCUCGCGGCCUAUCAGCUUGUUGGUGAGGUAGUGGCUCACCAAGGCGACGACGGGUAGCCGGCCUGAGAGGGCGACCGGCCACACUGGGACUGAGACACGGCCCAGACUCCUACGGGAGGCAGCAGUGGGGAAUAUUGCACAAUGGGCGAAAGCCUGAUGCAGCGACGCCGCGUGAGGGAUGACGGCCUUCGGGUUGUAAACCUCUUUCAGCAGGGAAGAAGCGAAAGUGACGGUACCUGCAGAAGAAGCACCGGCUAACUACGUGCCAGCAGCCGCGGUAAUACGUAGGGUGCGAGCGUUGUCCGGAAUUAUUGGGCGUAAAGAGCUUGUAGGUGGUUUGUCGCGUCUGCUGUGAAAAUCCGAGGCUCAACCUCGGACUUGCAGUGGGUACGGGCAGACUAGAGUGUGGUAGGGGAGACUGGAAUUCCUGGUGUAGCGGUGGAAUGCGCAGAUAUCAGGAGGAACACCGAUGGCGAAGGCAGGUCUCUGGGCCAUUACUGACACUGAGAAGCGAAAGCAUGGGGAGCGAACAGGAUUAGAUACCCUGGUAGUCG
Molecule: ribosomal RNA, 777 nt
Filed under: uncultured bacterium
Lineage: Bacteria
Description: bacterial SSU rRNA
Rfam family: Bacterial small subunit ribosomal RNA
Source: RNAcentral